This 1193-nucleotide ribosomal RNA is filed under the name Staphylococcus aureus. RNAcentral's name for it is "partial 23S ribosomal RNA". It matches the Rfam family "Bacterial large subunit ribosomal RNA", at positions 361 to 1559 of the family's 2925-position model. Lineage: Bacteria; Bacillati; Bacillota; Bacilli; Caryophanales; Staphylococcaceae. The record is from RNAcentral.
AGGUAAUAAUCCUGUAGUCGAAAAUGUUGUCUCUCUUGAGUGGAUCCUGAGUACGACGGAGCACGUGAAAUUCCGUCGGAAUCUGGGAGGACCAUCUCCUAAGGCUAAAUACUCUCUAGUGACCGAUAGUGAACCAGUACCGUGAGGGAAAGGUGAAAAGCACCCCGGAAGGGGAGUGAAAUAGAACCUGAAACCGUGUGCUUACAAGUAGUCAGAGCCCGUUAAUGGGUGAUGGCGUGCCUUUUGUAGAAUGAACCGGCGAGUUACGAUUUGAUGCAAGGUUAAGCAGUAAAUGUGGAGCCGUAGCGAAAGCGAGUCUGAAUAGGGCGUUUAGUAUUUGGUCGUAGACCCGAAACCAGGUGAUCUACCCUUGGUCAGGUUGAAGUUCAGGUAACACUGAAUGGAGGACCGAACCGACUUACGUUGAAAAGUGAGCGGAUGAACUGAGGGUAGCGGAGAAAUUCCAAUCGAACCUGGAGAUAGCUGGUUCUCUCCGAAAUAGCUUUAGGGCUAGCCUCAAGUGAUGAUUAUUGGAGGUAGAGCACUGUUUGGACGAGGGGCCCCUCUCGGGUUACCGAAUUCAGACAAACUCCGAAUGCCAAUUAAUUUAACUUGGGAGUCAGAACAUGGGUGAUAAGGUCCGUGUUCGAAAGGGAAACAGCCCAGACCACCAGCUAAGGUCCCAAAAUAUAUGUUAAGUGGAAAAGGAUGUGGCGUUGCCCAGACAACUAGGAUGUUGGCUUAGAAGCAGCCAUCAUUUAAAGAGUGCGUAAUAGCUCACUAGUCGAGUGACACUGCGCCGAAAAUGUACCGGGGCUAAACAUAUUACCGAAGCUGUGGAUUGUCCUUUGGACAAUGGUAGGAGAGCGUUCUAAGGGCGUUGAAGCAUGAUCGUAAGGACAUGUGGAGCGCUUAGAAGUGAGAAUGCCGGUGUGAGUAGCGAAAGACGGGUGAGAAUCCCGUCCACCGAUUGACUAAGGUUUCCAGAGGAAGGCUCGUCCGCUCUGGGUUAGUCGGGUCCUAAGCUGAGGCCGACAGGCGUAGGCGAUGGAUAACAGGUUGAUAUUCCUGUACCACCUAUAAUCGUUUUAAUCGAUGGGGGGACGCAGUAGGAUAGGCGAAGCGUGCGAUUGGAUUGCACGUCUAAGCAGUAAGGCUGAGUAUUAGGCAAAUCCGGUACUCGUUAAGGCUGA